UACGGAGGGUGCGAGCGUUGUCCGGAAUCACUGGGCGUAAAGGGCGCGUAGGCGGCAGGCCAAGCGUGUGGUGAAAGCCCGGGGCUCAACCCCGGGUCGGCCAUGCGGACUGGCGUGCUUGAGCACUGUAGGGGCGGGUGGAAUUCCGGGUGUAGCGGUGGAAUGCGUAGAGAUCCGGAAGAACACCCGUGGCUAAGGCGGCUCUCUAGUACGGUACUGACGCUGAGACGCGAAAGCGUGGGGAGCGAACAGG
This 253-nucleotide ribosomal RNA is filed under the name uncultured bacterium. Its description in RNAcentral is "partial 16S ribosomal RNA". It matches the Rfam family "Bacterial small subunit ribosomal RNA", at positions 524 to 776 of the family's 1533-position model. The record is from RNAcentral.